Molecule: long non-coding RNA, 768 nt
Filed under: Heterocephalus glaber (naked mole-rat)
Lineage: Eukaryota; Metazoa; Chordata; Mammalia; Rodentia; Bathyergidae
Description: lncRNA (ENSHGLG00100046158.1)
Source: RNAcentral
UCACAGCCAAGCCACUGCAGGCAGACCUGGGGGAGCCGCUCCCUGCUGCCAGGAGAGUCGGCCACGGAGUCGGCCACGGCCGGGAGAGAACUCCAUGGAAUCAAACCCCAGGAGUGGCUUCCUCAUGAGUUUCGUUUGGACACUGCCUCGUGCCCCACACCAAGAGUCGAGCCUGCCUCACUUCACGGAGGUUCAGUCACCUAACUCAUGCGUGUGCCCACCACUGCAGGCAACGACUCUGAGGCACAUCCAUCUGGUCCAGGGCAGACCAGUGUCUCACACAGCCAGAUCUGACAGACAGAGACCCAACCCGGGCCAUCUCCAGGUGCCCAGGCUCCCACAGCUGAGUUCACCAUGCAGGCUCCUCUCACCCCAGCCUGUGACCCCACGGUGGGGCUGGCAGGCUGGCCAGGUCACUCCCUGCACCUGUUAUCAGCCCUGGCUGCCCUUGGACAGCUGACAGCUUCGGCUCCAGUCACCUCGGCUACACAGAAACAGGACCCUCAGAUGCUCUAUCCCCACUCAUCCUAUGCACAAGGGCAUAGACAGAAUGCAAAUUAAAUCCCAAAAGCCAUUUGCCUGUGAUGGUGCAUUUACUAAUUUCAACACAAAGGAGUCAGGAAAUGCAGAAGCGGAGCCCUUCCCACGCACAGCUCCCACUCCCAGAAGAGCCAAUUACACCCCCACUUCAAUGACAUGUGACGAGAAACAGCACCAGCAUAGGUGAGUUCCUGUUUCUGCAAAACCCAGCUUCACUUCCUGAUCCAC